Molecule: ribosomal RNA, 253 nt
Filed under: uncultured bacterium
Lineage: Bacteria
Description: partial 16S ribosomal RNA
Rfam family: Bacterial small subunit ribosomal RNA
Source: RNAcentral
UACGUAGGGGGCAAGCGUUGUCCGGAAUCAUUGGGCGUAAAGCGCGCGUAGGCGGCCCGGUAAGUCCGCUGUGAAAGUCCAGGGCUCAACCCUGGAAAGCCGGUGGAUACUGUCGGGCUAGAGUCCGGAAGGGGCGAGUGGAAUUCCUGGUGUAGCGGUGAAAUGCGUAGAUAUCAGGAGGAACACCCGUGGCGAAGGCGGCUUCCUGGGGCCAUCCUGACACUGAGAAGCGAAAGCUAGGGGAGCGAACGGG